RNAcentral lists this long non-coding RNA (1501 nucleotides) under Salvator merianae (Argentine black and white tegu). RNAcentral describes it as "lncRNA (ENSSMRG00000015065.1)". Lineage: Eukaryota; Metazoa; Chordata; Lepidosauria; Squamata; Teiidae. The record is from RNAcentral.
AUGGCAUGUCUAAGAUCACCUAAAAUUCUAUGCAGAAGAAGUAAUCUCAGAGCUACGAGUUACAGAACUGUAAGAAAUAAAAACUCAGGACUAAAUCACUUUUUAAAAGGCACCGAACUGAAUGCUUCUUAUUUGUUUGUGAAAAAGAGACAUCUAGUGGGCAAAUAUAUUAACUGCAGCAAAACAAAGCACAGGACCAUUUUUGCUGUCAAGUAUCAGAUGCAGAACUGCGCUGAAUAUAUUAUCACUUUGAUACUUAAUGUUCAUGUUAAUUUUUUUUUAGAACACAAGAUCAGUGUGCAAGCCAGCAUCAUAUCUAGAAAUAUACAUAACAUAUCAUGACAAUUCUGAAAGCUCCAGAGAAAGGAUGAAAUAUUCGCUCUUGAGUAUUCCAAUGAUUUGAGCAAUGAUUAGAGUGAACGAGACAUUCUGUCAGGAAAACUGAAUUGCAUCAGACUGAAGGAUAGUUAUGUAACAGCAUAUAGGCUGUGUCUCUGUUAACUCUCCUGGGAUGCCUCCUCAAGGGGCUAAGCUGUCACGACUUCCCUUGCAGCAGCACAAGUUACCCUGUGAACAGCACACCAUUUCAGCAAAUGGUGUGAAUGCUGUUUGAAGUCUCUUUGCAUGAAGGCUGCAAUUUUGCACUUUNCUGAAGAGGACCUUGAUUUUUGCAUCAUUGAACACCUACGUACUUCGAAAUAGAGACACAGCAGUCUGGCGAACUCCUGGCAGAUCAGUACAACAAGUGGGGAGUAUGGAGUCUAGGAAUUCAGUAGGCAAUCGAUCUUAAAUGCCUCCAGGGACAGCUGCUGCUGUAAGGCAUCAUAAAAUCCCAGUUACACACCUGACUCUUGGUUGCCCUGGUCUCUAUGGCAACAGUACAGUGGGAAUCAUGGAGUCCUAAUUCCUAACAUGCAGCAAGGCUUUGGAAGAGAAGAGACUCAUCCCUAGAAUGACCUCAGCAUAGUGGGUUACCUGCAGCUUUCUGGAAUGAAAACAUACAACCAACAGUCACUUCAGUUCUAUAGACAAGACUUAGUAGGGUAAGAGUCAAUGAUCUCAAGGAGACAGAAGAAGAAAUGGAACUUGUGGGCCAGAGGACAAAAGGACACUNUACAGGGGCAUAGAAUGAUGACCCUUGAUGAGAGUACAUGCACAAUGGAAGGAGGCACUUAUACCCCAAAAUAGGAUGUGGGGACAGAUAUUUGGGCAAAAACAGGGGUAAACCAAAGGGUGACCAAUAACCAGACUUUCCUAGACCAGGUAAACAAAUUGCAGUGAUUAAAUCAGCUAUUCAGUUGGGUAUCNACAUUAGCAUAUUAAGCUAGCAGCUCUCUUUUCCCAAGGCAGUAACACUGUUNUUCAAGUGGUAUCUUCCUGCUGAAAGUUGAUGGGAUUAAGUUGUCCUGUGGCACAAACAAUUACACAAAAGAGAGUUUUCAGCAGAAAGUAGGCAACAUCAAAGAAUAAAGUCAACAGACCAAAGUUUGUGUGGAGUGAU